AACGAACGCUGGCGGCGUGGAUUAGGCAUGCAAGUCGAACGAGAAUCUGGAAGUUCAAGUUUUCGGACAAGAAUUUUUCGGAGGACAGUGGCGGAAGGGUGAGUACAACAUGGGUAAUCUAUCUUCAAGUUGGGUAUAACUCCUACGAAAGGGGAGAUAAUCCCGAAUGUGGUGAUCCGACGCAUGUCGGAGGAUCUAAAGGGCGGGGACCGCAAGGCCCGUCGCUUGAAGCCGAGCCCGUGCACUAUCAGCUAGUUGGUGAGGUAACGGCCCACCAAGGCUAUGACGGUUAGCUGGUCUGAGAGGAUGGUCAGCCACACUGGGACUGAGAUACUGCCCAGACUCCGUACGGGAGGCUGCAGUCGAGAAUCAUUCGCAAUGGGCGAAAGCCUGACGGUGCGACGUCGCGUGGAGGAUGAAGGUCUUCGGAUUGUAAACUCCUGUCAUGAGGGAUAAAUGGCCAGGGCACCAAUAGUGCUUUGGAAUGAUACG
RNAcentral lists this ribosomal RNA (492 nucleotides) under uncultured bacterium. RNAcentral's name for it is "bacterial SSU rRNA". It matches the Rfam family "Bacterial small subunit ribosomal RNA", at positions 29 to 492 of the family's 1533-position model. The record is from RNAcentral.